GGUCAGGCGGGACUACCCGCUGAGUUUAAGCAUAUAAAUAAGCGGAGGAGAAGAAACUUACAAGGAUUCCCCUAGUAACGGCGAGCGAACCGGGAGCAGCCCAGCUUGAGAAUCGGGCGGCUGUGCCGUCCGAAAUGUUGUCUGGAGAGGCGUCCUCAGCGACGGACCGGGCCCAAGUCCCCUGGAAAGGGGCGCCUGGGAGGGUGAGAGCCCCGUCCGGCCCGGACCCUGUCGCCCCACGAGGCGCCGUUAACGAGUCGGGUUGUUUGGGAAUGCAGCCCAAAUCGGGCGGUAGACUCCGUCCAAGGCUAAAUACAGGCGAGAGACCGAUAGCGAACAAGUACCGCGAAGGAAAGAUGAAAAGUACUUUGAAAAGAGAGUCAAAGAGUGCUUGAAAUUGCCGGGAGGGAAGCGGAUGGGGGCCGGCGAUGCGCCCCGGCCGUAUGCGGAACGGCUCUUGCUGGUCCGCCGCUCGGCUCGGGGUGUGGACUGUUGUCGGCCGCGCCGGCGGCCAAAGCCCGGGGGCCUUAGGUGCCCCCGGUGGCCGUCGUCGGCACGGCCGGUACCCGCGCGCCGAAAGGCGUGUCCCUCGGGGCACUGCGCUGCAACGGCCUGCGGGCUCCCCAUCCGACCCGUCUUGAAACACGG
This 648-nucleotide ribosomal RNA is filed under the name Triticum aestivum (bread wheat). RNAcentral's name for it is "partial small subunit ribosomal RNA". It matches the Rfam family "Eukaryotic large subunit ribosomal RNA", at positions 11 to 664 of the family's 3401-position model. The record is from RNAcentral. Lineage: Eukaryota; Viridiplantae; Streptophyta; Magnoliopsida; Poales; Poaceae.